UACGGGGGGGGCAAGCGUUGUUCGGAAUUACUGGGCGUAAAGGGCUCGUAGGCGGCUCCUUAAGUCAGACGUGAAAUCCCUCGGCUUAACCGGGGAACUGCGUCUGAGACUGAAGAGCUUGAAUCCGGGAGAGGGAUGCGGAAUUCCAGGUGUAGCGGUGAAAUGCGUAGAUAUCUGGAAGAACACCGGUGGCGCAAGCGGCUUGCUGGGCUGUAACUGACGCUGAGGAACGAAAGCUAGGGUAGCGAAUGGG
This 253-nucleotide ribosomal RNA is filed under the name uncultured bacterium. RNAcentral's name for it is "partial 16S ribosomal RNA". It matches the Rfam family "Bacterial small subunit ribosomal RNA", at positions 524 to 776 of the family's 1533-position model. The record is from RNAcentral.